Molecule: long non-coding RNA, 356 nt
Filed under: Helianthus annuus (common sunflower)
Lineage: Eukaryota; Viridiplantae; Streptophyta; Magnoliopsida; Asterales; Asteraceae
Description: hypothetical non coding rna
Source: RNAcentral
GGUGUAAACCGGUACAAGUCAUGUAGACGAGAUGAUGAUAAAUCCAUCUCGCAAAAGUAAACGGUCAUUUAGACCAAACGGGUCAAAAGGUGAAAAUAUCACCCUUUGACAAUAUCGACUAAUGGUUUGUCGAGUUGUAUGAUUACAGGAAUAAAUAUCGAUUGAAUGUUGACAUCGCUAUUACUUAGCGGCUACUAAGGCAAGGUAUCGAAACGGGUCAAUAUAUUGAUCCGAGCCAGGUUUGUAUAAUGAUUCAACUCGUGAAGAUGGACCUAAUCCGGAUGAAGAUCAAGCGGCGAGCAAGAACCGAACACACGUUAAAUGAAGCUUCCGCGUCAAAUCUUGAUUUGUGUUGA